AUUUUUCAGGUGAAAAGUGACAUGGAAUCUGAAAAUUUCAGCUAUUUGGAAAGGAAUCCCAAGAAAGAGCUGAAGCAAAUGAAAUUGCUGUUUUGUGGAUCAAACGUGGAAUUAAAGGCUCACACAACUGUGGAAAGGUUAAACAGCCACCUAAGAUCACUGGCGAUGGAUGCUGGCUAACAAGUGGGGAAGCAACAUCUAUGAGAUGCUUUGGCGACUCCUAAAACUGUUCUCACACUGCAGACGCAGCCACCAAUUAAACACACACACGAGAAAUGUGUGUAUGAGUAUUGUUAUCAUUGUCUUUUGGAGGUAGUGUUUUACACCCAGUAAGUUACCUCUGGGAAAAAUACUGCUUACAUCAUAGUAAAUGUGGAGUGGAAUAUGUUUACUCAGGACUUUUUUUGAGAUUUUCAUUUCGUAUGUUUAAUUAAAACAGAAUUUAAAGACUGGGGAUGUUGUUAAAAUAUUGUUUCAGGUUGAUGCAAGAACAUUCUAGUGCUAUUACGGUAACUCCAACUGCUGACUGGUUUUAUUUAAUCAUAAAGAUCUUAUAUCUCAAAAGAAA
This is a long non-coding RNA of Leopardus geoffroyi (Geoffroy's cat), 568 nucleotides long. RefSeq lists it as uncharacterized. Lineage: Eukaryota; Metazoa; Chordata; Mammalia; Carnivora; Felidae. The record is from RefSeq and is a predicted model, not a curated record. The transcript is spliced from 3 exons.